AUAAUUUAUUUGUGUUGAAGAGGCGGAGCGGCAUCUAGGGGGCAGCAAAUAAUUUAUUUGUGUUGAAGAUGGAAUGAGAUUAAUUGAACGGUUUGGAAGAUGAAGGGUUGAAGAAGAGUCGGAGCGGCAUCUUGGCGGCGGUUGAAGAUGGAAUGACAUUAAUUGAACCGUUUGGAAGAUGAAAGGUUGAAGAUGGAAUGGGAUUAAUCGAACCGUUUGGAAGAUGAAGGGUUGAAGAUGGAAUGAGAUUAAUCAAACCGUUUGGAAGAUGAAUCGAUACUUUGAACCGAUUAAUUGGGAACUUAAAUG
RNAcentral lists this long non-coding RNA (309 nucleotides) under Ananas comosus (pineapple). RNAcentral describes it as "long non-coding RNA (ACOM_LNC029351)". The record is from RNAcentral. Lineage: Eukaryota; Viridiplantae; Streptophyta; Magnoliopsida; Poales; Bromeliaceae.